Molecule: long non-coding RNA, 1219 nt
Organism: Cyanistes caeruleus (blue tit)
Lineage: Eukaryota; Metazoa; Chordata; Aves; Passeriformes; Paridae
Source: RefSeq, a predicted model, not a curated record
UAUAUAAAAUAUACAGUAACAUUUCCUUCAUCUCAAGGUUUGGCUGGCUUGCUUAUUUAGAUUAUAAAUUCUUUAGGGCAAAAACUGUCUCUUACACUGUGUGUGUACAUUACCAGAAACAGGCAUGCAGAAAAUGAAGCAGGCAGAUGGUUCUGGAAUAGUUCUGUUGGAGCAUCUGGCUGAUUUUCUGGAACAGCAUCACAUUCAAAUGGUAAAUUCACCCGUGAAAACUCACAUUAAAGGAACAUUACUAGUUGUUGCUGUCUUAACAACAGUCAUCUGUGGCCUGGGGCAGGUCUCCACCAUAAAAAGACCAGCAGUAAAAGUGGCUGAGUGGAGGAAUAAAUAUUUGCCAUUAAAAUAUUCCUUCAUUUUGAACCCCUAGAGAGACAAAUUACUGGGACUAAGCACUCUUGAGCACUUUGGGGAAUUAAAGUAAUAGAAGACUCUAGGGAGAACUGGGGCUUGUUAAUUUUUUUUUGUUGUUGUUGUUCCUUGACUUCUUGAGGUAUUCAUAAAUUGCCUACAAACAAGUAAAAACUUACAGGAAAGGGUUUUUCACCAUGCCAGCUCCAAAUGGUUGUGGAAUUAUAUUGUUUUUCCAGGCUGCCUUUCCAAAAUCCCUGCAGGAAGUUGAGUCAGGGCUUGACUCUGGCCUCAGACACACGCACAGCAAUAGCAGGAAUCCUCACUUCAACCAGAAGUCAGAUGAAUGCUGUCCCUUUGAAACAGGUGCCACUUUUAAUCUGAGUUUAUGCAGUUCUUCACAGAAUUAUAUUUUCCCCCCUCAGUGGAACUCCUAGGCACUUUUACAGUGUUAAUAGAUAAUGAAUGAGACUUCAAGUGUGCUGACACUAGUGAAGAACUCAUCCAGAGAAGUUCAAUGAUGUUUUUCAUUGGUACCUUCAUGGAAGUACCUUCAAAAAGGAGUUCAAAGAUGACCUCAGGAACUCUCUCACCUACCUCCCAAAUACCCCAACCAAGACGCAUCUGACCAUGGAUAAUAAUCUACUAUUCUUCCAGUAUAUAAAUGUGUUAUGCAAAGAGUUCAAGAAACCUUAUGGAAUUUGGAGUGUCUCUGAAACUUUGAAUUACAAUAUCCUCGGGGACUGACUGUCCACAGUGGGACUGUGUAUGUGUUUUGUUCAGCAAACUGAGCAUGAAUGAUAUAAGGCACCAAGAAAACUGUCUGUAAUGACAAUAAACUUAUGACAUUUUC